UACAGAGGUCUCAACCGUUGUUCGGAUUCAUUGGGCGUAAAGGGUGCGUAGGCGGUCGUGCAAGUCGGAUGUGAAAUCUCGGGGCUCAACCCCGAAACUGCAUUCGAUACUGCGUGGCUCGAGUACUGGAGAGGAGACUGGAAUUUACGGUGUAGCAGUGAAAUGCGUAGAUAUCGGGAGGAACACCGGUGGCGAAGGCGGGUCUCUGGGCAAUUCCUGACGCUGAGGCGCGAAAGCGUGGGGAGCAAACGGG
This 253-nucleotide ribosomal RNA is filed under the name uncultured bacterium. Its description in RNAcentral is "partial 16S ribosomal RNA". It matches the Rfam family "Bacterial small subunit ribosomal RNA", at positions 524 to 776 of the family's 1533-position model. The record is from RNAcentral.